This 116-nucleotide ribosomal RNA is filed under the name Pteropus alecto (black flying fox). Lineage: Eukaryota; Metazoa; Chordata; Mammalia; Chiroptera; Pteropodidae. The record is from RNAcentral.
GUUUAAGAUCAUGCCACCCUGAACAAGCCCGAUGUCUGAUCUCAGAAGCGAAGCUGGGUCGGGCGUGGUUAGUACUUGGAUGGGAGACCACCUAGGAAGACUAGGUGCUGUAGGCA